Picea glauca (white spruce) is the source of this 45-nucleotide non-coding RNA. The record is from Rfam. Lineage: Eukaryota; Viridiplantae; Streptophyta; Pinopsida; Pinales; Pinaceae.
UUUCAGGACUUUUUCAAGUCCACUCUCCUACCUAUGAAAAUGUUA